Molecule: ribosomal RNA, 155 nt
Filed under: uncultured bacterium
Lineage: Bacteria
Description: partial 16S rRNA
Rfam family: Bacterial small subunit ribosomal RNA
Source: RNAcentral
UGAGGAAUAUUGGACAAUGGGCGCAAGCCUGAUCCAGCCAUGCCGCGUGCAGGAUGACGGUCCUAUGGAUUGUAAACUGCUUUUGUACAGGAAGAAACACUCCCUCGUGAGGGAGCUUGACGGUACUGUAAGAAUAAGGAUCGGCUAACUCCGUG